GCAAGUCGAGGGAGGAAUUAUCUUCGGAUAAUGGAAACCGGCGCACGGGUGCGUAACACGUGGGAAUCUACACUGAGGUUGAGAAUAACGCAUGGAAACGUGUGCUAAUGCUCUAUAAUGGCUCCGGCCCAAAGCUCCGGCGCCUCAGGAUGAGCCCGCGUCUGAUUAGGUAGUUGGUGAGGUAAUGGCUCACCAAGCCGACGAUCAGUAGCUGGUCUGAGAGGACGAUC
This 230-nucleotide ribosomal RNA is filed under the name uncultured bacterium. RNAcentral describes it as "partial 16S ribosomal RNA". It matches the Rfam family "Bacterial small subunit ribosomal RNA", at positions 57 to 305 of the family's 1533-position model. The record is from RNAcentral.